Molecule: non-coding RNA, 77 nt
Organism: Albula goreensis
Lineage: Eukaryota; Metazoa; Chordata; Actinopteri; Albuliformes; Albulidae
Source: the annotation of a GenBank genome assembly
UCCCAAUUCUUUCAUGCAGUGGUUAGGGAGUUGGGCUUGUAUCCCCAAGGUUGUGGGUUCAGUUCCCAGAUAGGGCA